RNAcentral lists this ribosomal RNA (432 nucleotides) under uncultured bacterium. RNAcentral describes it as "bacterial SSU rRNA". It matches the Rfam family "Bacterial small subunit ribosomal RNA", at positions 338 to 761 of the family's 1533-position model. The record is from RNAcentral.
CCUACGGGAGGCAGCAGUGGGGAAUAUUGCGCAAUGGGCGAAAGCCUGACGCAGCGACGCCGCGUGAGGGAUGAAGGUCUUCGGAUCGUAAACCUCUGUCAGGAGGGAAGAAGUGGUUAUAUGCGAAUAGUGUAUGACUUUGACGGUACCUCCAAAGGAAGCACCGGCUAACUCCGUGCCAGCAGCCGCGGUAAUACGGAGGGUGCGAGCGUUAAUCGGAAUCACUGGGCGUAAAGCGCGCGUAGGCGGCUUUUCAAGUCAGGGGUGAAAUCCCACGGCCCAACCGUGGAACUGCCUUUGAAACUGUAGAGCUUGAGUGUCGGAGAGGGUGGCGGAAUUCCAGGUGUAGGAGUGAAAUCCGUAGAUAUCUGGAGGAACACCGGUGGCGAAGGCGGCCACCUGGACGACAACUGACGCUGAGGUGCGAAAGCG